AUUGAACGCUGGCGGCAUGCUUUACACAUGCAAGUCGAACGGCAGCGCGGGCUUCGGCCUGGCGGCGAGUGGCGAACGGGUGAGUAAUGCAUCGGAACGUGCCCAGCAGUGGGGGAUAGCCCGGCGAAAGCCGGAUUCAUACCGCAUACGACCUGAGGGUGAAAGCGGGGGACCGAAAGGCCUCGCGCUAUUGGAGCGGCCGAUGUCGGAUUAGCUAGUUGGUGGGGUAAAGGCUUACCAAGGCGACGAUCCGUAGCUGGUCUGAGAGGACGACCAGCCACACUGGGACUGAGACACGGCCCAGACUCCUACGGGAGGCAGCAGUGGGGAAUUUUGGACAAUGGGGGCAACCCUGAUCCAGCCAUGCCGCGUGCGGGAAGAAGGCCUUCGGGUUGUAAACCGCUUUUGUUCGGGAAGAAAUCCUCUGGGCUAAUACCCCGGGGGGAUGACGGUACCGGAAGAAUAAGCACCGGCUAACUACGUG
Molecule: ribosomal RNA, 484 nt
Filed under: uncultured bacterium
Lineage: Bacteria
Description: partial 16S ribosomal RNA
Rfam family: Bacterial small subunit ribosomal RNA
Source: RNAcentral